Molecule: long non-coding RNA, 683 nt
Filed under: Prunus dulcis (almond)
Lineage: Eukaryota; Viridiplantae; Streptophyta; Magnoliopsida; Rosales; Rosaceae
Description: sRNA ncRNA
Source: RNAcentral
GCCGAACGGCGAGGCCAACGUCCACCGUCCAAGCGCCGCUUGAAAGUCGAAACUUUCCCGAGAAAAUCAAGGAAAGAAAGCGAGAGAGAAAGAGAAGGAAAAUGGCUGGGAGCUCUAAUACUUGGGCCUAUGCCCGGAUCAUCACCGGAACCAUUCUCGGUGGCGUUCUCGGCUUCUACGUCAUGGAUCGCGUCGAGAAAAGCUACAAGGUCUUCUUACCUCCCCCUCUCUGUUUAUCAUUCUUCUUAUUAAGCUCACUCUCUGUCUGAUUUUCGGAAAUGAAAAUUAUAGCUUCCUGAGCAACUCAAACAAUGGAAUCAUAGCAGAAAUUUAUCAAUAUAACUUUGUAAUCUGAUUGAUUUUCAUAUGGAAUCUUGGAUUUUGAUGAAUACAGGAGAAAGUGAAGGAGAGACUGAGACAGUACGAAAGUGAAUUGAAGAAGAAAGAGAAAUUGAAUGAGUUUGAAGAGUCUAUGUAGACUGUACCCUACCAGUGUUCUUUCUUCUUUUUACUUCUGCUUGUGGUUGUUGAACACAAAAAUGUUGAAAUUUUGAAUCAUAUGUUUUUGUAUUUGGACUUAGCCAGUACUGGAGUUUGAUUCGAAUGAGAGUGUCUAUAUUUGAGGAAAAAGAGCCCAACUUUCACGACCCAUCAAGCCAAUUUGCUUUCAAGAAUAUUGCAUG